AUUGAACGCUGGCGGCGGGCCUAACACAUGCAAGUCGAGCGGAGCGGCGGACGGGUGAGUAAUGCCUAGGAAUCUGCAUGGUAGUGGGGGAUAACGUCCGGUAACGGGCGCUAAUACCGCAUACUAUCAGAUGAGCCUAGGUCGGAUGAGCUAGUUGGUGGGGUAAAGGCCUACCAAGGCGACGACCCGUAACUGGUCCGAGAGGAGGAUCAGUCACACUGGAACUGAAACACGGUCCAGACUCCUACGGGAGGCAGCAGUGGGGAAUAUUGGACAAUAGGCACAAGCCGGAUCCAGCCAUGCCGCGUGUGUGAAGAAGGUCUUCGGAUUGUAAAGCACUUUAAGUUGGGAAGCGUUACUAGCAGAAGAAGCACCGGCUAACUUCGUGCCAGCAGCCGCGGUAAUAC
This 407-nucleotide ribosomal RNA is filed under the name uncultured bacterium. RNAcentral's name for it is "partial 16S ribosomal RNA". It matches the Rfam family "Bacterial small subunit ribosomal RNA", at positions 30 to 526 of the family's 1533-position model. The record is from RNAcentral.